Molecule: long non-coding RNA, 790 nt
Organism: Nicotiana attenuata
Lineage: Eukaryota; Viridiplantae; Streptophyta; Magnoliopsida; Solanales; Solanaceae
Exons: 2
Source: RefSeq, a predicted model, not a curated record
CACCCAAAGAAGCCGUAAAAUACACAAAGAAGAAUGUUUUAACUUGUCUCAAUUGUCACGUUUCCAAAUUGAUCAAAAGCUGGGCAUUUGCGUUCGUCCAUUUCCAAAUUAGGAAAGACAGAAUGGGAAAGAGGGUAGGGAGAGGUGGAAGAAGGGACGAUUUACCGUCGCCGUCGAUCUUGACUCGAGCUGUAGACUCCGUAUUCGAUUUCGUCCGUUUUGCUGAGUUCGAGAUUCUCUUCGUCCUCUUCUUCGUUGUAGCUUUUGUCAUUUUCAAGGAUCUGACUGCAAGGCCGGAGUAUAAUCAGAUCAUGGUGACGAAGCCAGAUUGGUGGCCUUACUAGAUAGACUGCACCUGCAGGGUGUUUUCCGUGUCUACUUGAAGUGUAUGGGUUGCUCUGUUCAUUCUUUUCUAAAGUGCAGUCAGAUGUCUGGAUCCGAUAUUGAGAUUUAUUCCUCCUUUUCUUUUCCUUUGUCAUAUGUUGUCUGAACUAGUUAGUUAUAUGGGAGAAGAAGAUUUCUUUUACUAGGGAGCUUUUUGUUCUUUGAAAUAUGAAGAAUUAAUGGAAUGUAAAUUGGUUUUCUUGUUUUGUCCCUUCAUUUUCCAUUGGGGGUAGAAUGGGUAGUUGAUUUGAUAUUGUUAACAGAGAGUCGAAGUUUGAAAUCAGGAUUUUAUGGGAAAGAAUUCCCACUAAUUUAAGUUGUCUGGUCAUACUGAAAUUCAGCAAAUGCAUAUUGGGUCUGAUCAUAUAUGUAUUACCUUAUUCAACAUGUAAUACCAUCUUAUAUC